AAUAAGUGCAGUUUUACACUAUUCACGUUCAACGUCUGAUCGUCCGUCUUAUUUGAAAAUUUUUUAUGAUUAGUAUUUUUAUUGCUAUUAGAUGAUAAAACAUGAAUAGUACUUUAUGUGUGACUAAAUAUUUUUAUUUUUUUCACAAAUUUUUCAAAUAAGACGGACGGUCAAACAUUGAACAUGAAUAGUGCAAAGCUGCACUUAUU
Non-coding RNA from Oryza glumipatula, 209 nucleotides. NCBI's taxonomy places the organism in Eukaryota, Viridiplantae, Streptophyta, Magnoliopsida, Poales, Poaceae. The record is from Rfam.